RNAcentral lists this ribosomal RNA (253 nucleotides) under uncultured bacterium. RNAcentral's name for it is "partial 16S ribosomal RNA". It matches the Rfam family "Bacterial small subunit ribosomal RNA", at positions 524 to 776 of the family's 1533-position model. The record is from RNAcentral.
UACGUAGGGUGCGAGCGUUGUCCGGAAUUAUUGGGCGUAAAGAGCUCGUAGGCGGCUUGUCGCGUCGGAUGUGAAAGCCCGGGGCUUAACUCCGGGUCUGCAUUCGAUACGGGCAGGCUAGAGUUCGGUAGGGGAGUCUGGAAUUCCUGGUGUAGCGGUGAAAUGCGCAGAUAUCAGGAGGAACACCGGUGGCGAAGGCGGGACUCUGGGCCGAUACUGACGCUGAGGAGCGAAAGCGUGGGGAGCAAACAGG